Molecule: long non-coding RNA, 438 nt
Organism: Austrofundulus limnaeus
Lineage: Eukaryota; Metazoa; Chordata; Actinopteri; Cyprinodontiformes; Rivulidae
Exons: 2
Source: RefSeq, a predicted model, not a curated record
CCUGAUUGGCUGGCAUUACCAAGUGGCUGCAGCUACAACAGAUCUGGUUAAUCAGCGCUCUGCGUUCUUGAGGUAGAUCAGAGGAUCAGUUCUUUGCUGAUGCAUCAUUUGCCUUUGCUAAAGCUACUCAGACCCUCUGUGUUUUGAACUUCCCUGAGUUAACCUUUGUGAAUUUCUUUGUUCAGAGUUUUAUGCCUCCUGAGAUUUACCUGGACGAUCCUCUCCCUGCGAUCCUGGAAGAACCUGAAAGAAAGCCACUCACCUGGCCUAAUGCUGCACUGCCUGUCUGCUUCUGUCUGGAACCAACUCACCUACAAAACCGGAUUGUAAAUACUCCCCUGGAAAUCCUGGACCUCUCCCUCAUUGCCGAGCCUCCAUCCAAUAUCCAUCUGGUUCCUGUAAAAGCCCCACCUGUGAAUAAAAUCACUUACCUUUUUA